AGGACGACGCUGGCGGCGUGCCUAACACAUGCAAGUCGAGCGAGGAGAUCCUUCGGGAUGAUCCUAGCGGCGGACGGGUGAGUAACACGUGGGCAACCUGCCUCAUAGAGAGGAAUAGCCUUCCGAAAGGGAGAUUAAUACCUCAUAACAUUGCAGUUUCGCAUGGAACAGCAAUUAAAGGAGCAAUCCGCUAUGAGAUGGGCCCGCGGCGCAUUAGCUAGUUGGUGAGGUAACGGCUCACCAAGGCGACGAUGCGUAGCCGACCUGAGAGGGUGAUCGGCCACAUUGGGACUGAGACACGGCCCAGACUCCUACGGGAGGCAGCAGUGGGGAAUAUUGCACAAUGGGGGAAACCCUGAUGCAGCCAACGCCGCGUGAGUGAUGACGGCCUUCGGGUUGUAAAGCUCUGUCUUCAGGGACGAUAAUGACGGUACCUGAGGAGGAAGCCACGGCUAACUACGUGCCAGCAGCUGC
Molecule: ribosomal RNA, 474 nt
Filed under: uncultured bacterium
Lineage: Bacteria
Description: bacterial SSU rRNA
Rfam family: Bacterial small subunit ribosomal RNA
Source: RNAcentral